AGUUAAUGAGCUUGUAUAAGUUUAUAUUUUGAAAAUAUAAGAAAGAAAUAUUCAAUUUUCUAUUAACUU
This 69-nucleotide transfer RNA is filed under the name Agelasta perplexa. RNAcentral's name for it is "tRNA-Ser". The record is from RNAcentral. Lineage: Eukaryota; Metazoa; Arthropoda; Insecta; Coleoptera; Cerambycidae.